This 432-nucleotide non-coding RNA is filed under the name Pongo abelii (Sumatran orangutan). The record is from RNAcentral. Lineage: Eukaryota; Metazoa; Chordata; Mammalia; Primates; Hominidae.
GAUGGGGCGAGCCAUGGGACUGGAAGGCAGCAGGCAGAUGUCAGGGUCAGGCAUUGCUGGCUCAGAAGCAGGAAAUCUCAUGUAGAAGCCCAGAACUUUCAAGAGAUAAGAAGUAGGGAGAUUCUGGUUUAAAGAGAGAUGACGGAAGCCCCGAAUGUCCUGUCUUCUGCUCCCCCAGAUACCUUCAUGGACUACAGAGCUGUACAUACGACUAUUGAAGUUUAUAACUAAAAAUAAACCAAUAGGAAACCUAGCCAUGGCAUAGUGGCUACAUGCAUGGGAUGUGAAGCCACAAUUCCUGAGUUUGAAUCCCAGCUCUGCCUCAUCUUAAAAGUGUGAUCAUAGAGAGUGUGCCAACAUCAUUCUAAAUGAUUGGGAUACAUGAGUGGGAGUGAAUGAAGUGGGCAAUGGCAGCAUUUUAGAAAAGGACUA